GAGACUGAGAUCCCUCGGCUCAGCUCCAACCAGAGGUGAAGGAAAAGGCCUAAAACCCAGCUUUGUUCUCUACAGAUCCAUCUUCUGUCGUGCUUAUCAGCACCGCUGGUCCCACUUCCACCCAGUUCUCCAGUCUACCUGCAGACAAACGAUUUCACACUCACCUGCUCCUCGGCCUGCCCUCCUGCCCGUCAUCUCAAUUGUGGAUAUAUCUUUCCUCUAGACCCCUUGGAACUUGGAUCCAUCUCACCUGCAUACUCCGCCAUCCCCUGGACACUCUCACAGCUACCCCUCCUAUGCCAGCCGGCCUGCAUCUACAAAAGUUCCUGCCCAUGCUCUCCUUGUGUUAUGAGUGCCAGAACCUUUCUCCAUCCCCUGGUUUCCCACGACACCUGUUCAUAGUUUCUGUUAAUAUACGUGCUCUUGUUUAAGUUGAUUACUCCUGUAAAUAAAUCUUGUAAAUAGUUUGUGCAAUUAAGUCUGCCCUUGGGU
Molecule: long non-coding RNA, 492 nt
Organism: Oreochromis niloticus (Nile tilapia)
Lineage: Eukaryota; Metazoa; Chordata; Actinopteri; Cichliformes; Cichlidae
Exons: 3
Source: RefSeq, a predicted model, not a curated record